Pseudonaja textilis is the source of this 160-nucleotide non-coding RNA. Lineage: Eukaryota; Metazoa; Chordata; Lepidosauria; Squamata; Elapidae. The record is from RefSeq and is a predicted model, not a curated record.
CAGAUUAAGAAAUAAUAAAAAACACCUCCCUACAACAUAGGUAAUGGAAUUUUAACUUUUUGUUUUUUUUUCUCUUUUUUUAAAAAAGCACUUCUUAACAAAAUAUCUUCUUUUGUACAAAAUAACAUUUGAGUCAUCUUUUCAGCUGCUAAUGUUUUUU